GUGGGUAGUUUGACUGGGGCGGUCUCCUCCUAAAGAGUAACGGAGGAGCACGAAGGUUGGCUAAUCCUGGUCGGACAUCAGGAGGUUAGUGCAAUGGCAUAAGCCAGCUUGACUGCGAGCGUGACGGCGCGAGCAGGUGCGAAAGCAGGUCAUAGUGAUCCGGUGGUUCUGAAUGGAAGGGCCAUCGCUCAACGGAUAAAAGGUACUCCGGGGAUAACAGGCUGAUACCGCCCAAGAGUUCAUAUCGACGGCGGUGUUUGGCACCUCGAUGUCGGCUCAUCACAUCCUGGGGCUGAAGUAGGUCCCAAGGGUAUGGCUGUUCGCCAUUUAAAGUGGUACGCGAGCUGGGUUUAGAACGUCGUGAGACAGUUCGGUCCCUAUCUGCCGUGGGCGCUGGAGAACUGAGGGGGGCUGCUCCUAGUACGAGAGGACCGGAGUGGACGCAUCACUGGUGUUCGGGUUGUCAU
This 467-nucleotide ribosomal RNA is filed under the name Salmonella enterica. RNAcentral's name for it is "partial 23S ribosomal RNA". It matches the Rfam family "Bacterial large subunit ribosomal RNA", at positions 2261 to 2727 of the family's 2925-position model. The record is from RNAcentral. Lineage: Bacteria; Pseudomonadati; Pseudomonadota; Gammaproteobacteria; Enterobacterales; Enterobacteriaceae. RNAcentral also lists the same sequence under 1 other name.